CGAACGAGAUCUUCGGAUCUAGUGGCGCACGGGUGAGUAACGCGUGGGAACCUACCUUUUAGUACGGGACAACGUCUGGAAACGGACGCUAAUACCGCAUACGCCCUCAGGGGGAAAGGCUUCGGCCACUCUAAGACGGUCCCGCGUCUGAUUAGCUUGUUGGUAAGGUAACGGCUUACCAAGGCGACGAUCAGUAGCUGGUCUGAGAGGAUGAUCAGCCACACUGGGACUGAGACACGGCCCAGACUCC
RNAcentral lists this ribosomal RNA (250 nucleotides) under uncultured bacterium. RNAcentral describes it as "partial 16S ribosomal RNA". It matches the Rfam family "Bacterial small subunit ribosomal RNA", at positions 63 to 339 of the family's 1533-position model. The record is from RNAcentral.